CACGCAGGCGGUUGGAUAAGUCAGAUGUGAAAGCCCCGGGCUCAACCUGGGAACUGCAUUUGAAACUGUCUGACUAGAGUCUUGUAGAGGGGGUAGAAUUCCAGGUGUAGCGGUGAAAUGCGUAGAGAUCUGGAGGAAUACCGGUGGCGAAGGCGGCCCCCUGGACAAAGACUGACGCUCAGGUGCGAAAGCGUGGGGAGCAAACA
Molecule: ribosomal RNA, 206 nt
Filed under: uncultured bacterium
Lineage: Bacteria
Also listed under: 1 other name
Description: partial 16S ribosomal RNA
Rfam family: Bacterial small subunit ribosomal RNA
Source: RNAcentral